This is a non-coding RNA of Mycena epipterygia, 93 nucleotides long. Lineage: Eukaryota; Fungi; Basidiomycota; Agaricomycetes; Agaricales; Mycenaceae. The record is from the annotation of a GenBank genome assembly.
GACUCGGUGGCGGAUGGUCCGCGUCUGCCAGUAUUAUUUGAAAAUGCAACCUUUACGAUGCGGAAGGUGUCGGUUCGAUUCCGGCUCGAGUCA